GAGUUUGAUCCUGGCUCAGGACGAACGCUGGCGGCACGCCUAACACAUGCAAGUCGAACGGAGAUAUUUUGGUUUACUGAGAUAUCUUAGUGGCGGACGGGUGAGUAACACGUGAGCAACCUGCCUCUGAGAGAGGGAUAGCUUCUGGAAACGGAUGGUAAUACCUCAUAACAUAACGAAGCCGCAUGACUUUGUUAUCAAAGAUUUAUCACUCAGAGAUGGGCUCGCGUCUGAUUAGAUAGUUGGUGAGGUAACGGCUCACCAAGUCGACGAUCAGUAGCCGGACUGAGAGGUUGAACGGCCACAUUGGGACUGAGACACGGCCCAGACUCCUACGGGAGGCAGCAGUGGGGAAUAUUGCACAAUGGGGGAAACCCUGAUGCAGCGAUGCCGCGUGGAGGAAGAAGGUUUUCGGAUUGUAAACUCCUGUCUAAAGGACGAUAAUGACGGUACUWGAGAGUCGGCCC
This 467-nucleotide ribosomal RNA is filed under the name uncultured Bacillota bacterium. Its description in RNAcentral is "bacterial SSU rRNA". The record is from RNAcentral. Lineage: Bacteria; Bacillati; Bacillota.